Molecule: ribosomal RNA, 497 nt
Filed under: uncultured bacterium
Lineage: Bacteria
Description: partial 16S ribosomal RNA
Rfam family: Bacterial small subunit ribosomal RNA
Source: RNAcentral
GAUGAACGCUGGCGGCGUGCCUAAUACAUGCAAGUCGAGCGAAAAGACCAGGAGCUUGCUCCUCUGACGUUUGCGGCGGACGGGUGAGUAACACGUGGAUAACCUACCUAUAAGACUGGGAUAAUUUCGGGACACCGGAGCUAAUACCGGAUAAUAUACUGAACCGCAUGGUUCAAUAGUGAAAGACGGUUUUGCUGUCACUUAUAGAUGGUUCCGCGCCGCAUUAGCUAGUUGGUAAGGUAAAGGCUUAUCAAGGCAACGAUGCGUAGGCGACCUGAGAGGGGGAUCGGCCGCACUAGAACUGGACCAGCGACCAGAGGCCUACGAGAGGCAGCAGUAGGGAAUCGGCCGCAGUAGGCGGAAGCCUUACGGAGCGGCGCCACGUGAGAUGUAAAAAUCUUCGGAUCGUAAAACUCUGUUAUGAGUGAAAAACAAAUGUGUAAGUAACUAUGCACUUCUUGACGGUACCUAAUCAGAAAGCCACGGCUAACUACGUG